AAUGGAUCUCUCUCUCUCUCUCUCCCCAAACCAAAAAGCUAAAAUAAUUAUAAUUGCAUUCGAAGGAGGAAAAAUAAAAUAAUUACAUCAUCUGGACUCCUAUUAGCACCAAUAUGAAGAUUUCCAAAAUGAACAUUUAAUAGUUAAAACCAUUACCCACCAAGUCAUCCUCCUCGCCACUGCUGUAAGAUUCAACCACUUGACUGUCAUCAUCAUCCUCAUCACCCUCGGUCACAAUCUCCAGUAUCCCAGGCCCCCCAUCAAAGUCUGCAUCAUCCAUGAUAAAGUCUCCGUCCUCUUCAUCAUCAAGCUCACUCAAACUAUCAUCAUCAUCCUCAUUGCUCAUAUCAUCAGUGUCACUCUCGCCAUCCCCAUCCAGGUCUGGACCCAGCAUAGGAUCUACAUCACCAUCAUCUUCAUCAUCAUCAUCAUUUUCUUUGUUAACCUCAGUAUCUUCAUCUCUUUUCUGAUCAUCUUCUGAACCAUUUGGAGCAGUUGCACAAGCUCUAGACUUCCAAUUCCAUCCAUGCUCCAGAGGUGGGGGAAUUACUGGUUGUGGAGCACUGUUAUUGUUCUCAGAGCCCCAAUUGGAUGAUUGAGGCCUGGUAUUUCCUCUGCCAGCAGGCUUCUUAGAAUCAAAAGCCUGAGUUGGCCAUGCAUUUGCAGACAUCCUACCUGAACCACCAUUAUUUCGCAUGCCUAGCUUUUGUACCACAUCUGGAUGUCCCCAUGCUUUAGAAAUAGAAUUCUGAGAACCCCAGGAUUUUGCAGCACUGCUUCCAGCUCUGUUCUUAGACUUCCGUGAUAUAACCUCCCAUUCUCCAUCAUCUUCUGCAGAAUCCAAACUAAUGCCUACUACACCUUGACCCAACCGCUCAACCUUAGGACUAGAGAUUUCUGAUGCAUUUUCCCCCCCAGAUGACGCAUUAUUACAAGUACCAGCAGUUGAAGUCCUUCCAACCCCUCCUCUUGAACUCAUCUUUGCAACCAAUGUGGG
This 997-nucleotide unclassified non-coding RNA is filed under the name Hevea brasiliensis (rubber tree). The record is from RNAcentral. Lineage: Eukaryota; Viridiplantae; Streptophyta; Magnoliopsida; Malpighiales; Euphorbiaceae.